This 3024-nucleotide long non-coding RNA is filed under the name Mus musculus (house mouse). RNAcentral describes it as "long non-coding RNA chr18:22492187-22495211". Lineage: Eukaryota; Metazoa; Chordata; Mammalia; Rodentia; Muridae. The record is from RNAcentral.
UGAGAGUUUUACAUUUGUAUUGGCAGGCAGCAGGAAGAGAGUGCCACACUGGCUUGAGUAUCUGAGUCCCCAAAGCCCACCCUCAGUGACACUCUUCCUCCAAAAAGACCACACCUCCUAAAAGUACCAUUCCCUAUGAGCCUGUGGGAGCCAUUUUCUUUCAAACCGCCACAGUCAUCCUAGAUUUGUUUUCCUAAGUUCUUGUUUUUCUUAUUAUUAAAAACACAUUCUUUGAAAGGCAUCUCAGGUAGCUCAGGUUGUUCUAAACCUUGCAAUGUUGCCAAGGAUCACCUUAAGCUGUUGUUUUUUUGAGUCUUUCUGUGUAAAACUGGCUGGCCUUAAACUCACUGGUAAGUGUUCCAGACAAGCUUUGAAUUCACAGACCCACCUGCCUCUGCCUCCUGAGUGCUAGGAGUAAAAACAACACAUGAGCAAUUCUGCCUAAUCUAAGGAUGGCCUUAAAAAGAGAGCCUCCUGCCUCCCUCCAUCCUACAGCUACUGGGAAUAUGGAUAUAUACCACCAUGGUAGUUGAAGAAGAAUUUUAUAGAAGAUUUUUGUAGAGCAGAAGUAGGAAAAGAACAACAACAACAAAAUAAUUCCUCUAAAACCUUUCUUAGAUGAGUUUUGUUCUUUCUCCUGCUUUUGAAACUUUAAGUUCCCUGAAGAUACUCAUGAUUCCCUGACACACUGGCUUGCCCAGUUCCACCAUCACACAGGAACAUGCAUGUAUUAAAAGAGCCUCAGCAACACUUCUUUCCUGUCACAUUAUAAUUUAAAUGACAUGUAUAGUUUAGUCCCAUCUUAUGCAGCCUUCAGUUAUAGUUGAAGCCACAGCAUCUGUAUGGAAGGGUGAUCUUGUUAGAGACGGUAGUCCAUAUGCUGACUUGUAAUUAUUGAAAACCUUAGUGUGCCUUUAAGAUUACUCAUUUUUGUUCAAUACAAAUUGUAAUUUUCUCUUAUUAUACUUUUAAGAACAAUAAUUUUUAGCUAAAUUUCAAAGAGCUCCAUGUACCCUCUCGACUCUGUGUCUUAGGUGCUGGGAUUGCACACAUGUUACCAUGUCCAGGUUUUUUGUUUUGUUUUGUUUGUGUGUUUGUUUUGUAUUUUUGUUUUUUUAUGAACUUGAGUUAUUUAUUUAUUUUCAUUAGUUUAUUAUUCUCUCAUACAUUACAUCCUUUCCUUCUUUUUCCCUAAAGACAGGCAAAAGAGUCAGGGUCAACUGUGCUUCCACUGUUAUGAGUCCCACAAAACCAUAAAGCUACUCAACUGUAACAUAUAUGCAGAGGGCCUAGGCCAGACCCAUGCAGGCUCCCCAAUUGUCUCUUCAGUCUCUGAGAGCUCCUAUGAGCCCUGCUUAAUUGGUUCUGUGGGUUCUCUUGUGGUGUCCUUGAUUCCUCUGCCUCUGUUCUUCCCUCUUCUGCAGGAUCCCCAAGUUCAUCUUAUGUUAGGUCACCAUGACCAGGUUUUUGACAUGGGUGGUAAGACAUCUGCUUGGCCCAACUUUGGGAUAUGCUAUCAGUGACAUUUGUCAUGAAAGUUCCUUAUCUCUUGGGAGCAUCUCUCCUGUAUGCAGUUCCAGAAUCAGUUUGGAGAAAUGGGGAAGUGAAGGAACAAUGGCCUGACAACAUGUUAUCACUGUGUUAAUUGUGACAGAGUAUCAAAUCAGGUAUUUCUAUUCCCAAUGAAAGCAGAGAUUAUUACAUUUGAAAGCCACCCAUUAGAUGCUUGUUGGUGGCAUGUUUGACAUUUCAUUUUGUGACUUUAAAAAUGUAUUUUGAGACAGAAUGUUUGCGUCUAUAAGAUUCUUAGGUCCUUGGUUUGUUGUUAGUCUGUUGUGGUCCAAAUUUUUUGUGGUUGUGAGUUUUCUUUGCAAAUGGAAUUCCUUACUCCAGUGAGCUGUACACUGUCUUUAAAGUGGUAAGCUUCGAAUAGCUUAUUUGUUGUACCCCUUUCUGGUUGUGUUACUUUGGUCUGGCCCAAUUGCAGGAAAGAAACUUGCUGUGAGGGAAAGUUCUAGAAGUGUACUGGCCUCUGCUCUGCAGCUGUCCAGUUUUAGGACCUCACUAUUGCGCUCCUGACCUGUGUUCUGGUAUUGAGACCCUGUCACUUCCUCCAGCACAUGGGGGAUGUAACUACCUGAUAAUCUAAUAUUAUAGAGUUCCUCUCUAGAAUAACUUUGUCCUGAAAACUGACAUCAGUGCUGGUCCAGUCCGUUGUAGCAUGAGUGGUAGGACAGAGUUAUUCAAAGUUAAGGAGCUUAAAACAUAACAGCAGAAAUCAUGAUACCAGGCAGCAUUAUGUCAGUAAGUGUUUAUAGAGGUGUUCAACCCACAGACACUGCCAUAGCCAAAACAAAAUAGUAAAUCCAUCUUCAAUGUUUAAAAAAAGUGAUUUUUUUCAUUGUUACUCAGUUACACAGUUCCUAAAUGUGAACCUUGUACUUGAUAAUAUUGUGUAUCAAUGUCAAAGUUAGAAACAUCUGAUAGCCUCUCUGGGUGUACUAUUUAGAUCCAUAUAGUUUCUUACAGUGUUAGUUGUUUACAUAGUAUUACAUCUCUGUUGAGAUUCAUAGACAUAUUUAAGAAUUAUGAGAUUUAAGGAAAACAGACUAUCUCAGUAUGGCAGUGCACGCCUGUGAUCUUGGCAUACUAGAGACUGACUGACCCUGGAGAGUUACUGGGAGAGGAUGGCUUGUCCAGGCUAUAAGGUGAGUUCAAAACCAGCCUGUGAUACAUGAAACCAUGUUGUUGUUUUAAGAAAGGGAAAACCUGAAUGUGGUGCACAUGCAUUUAAUCCCAGCACUUGGGAAGCAGAGGCAGGAAGAUCUCUGUGAGUUUGAGGUCAGCCAAACCUAUAAAGGACAUUGCUCUUGGGGAGAGAGGGGAGUUAGAGAGAGAUAGAGUGACAAAGACAAAAAGACAGAGACAGGGAGAUGGAGUCAGAGAGACAGAGAUAGAAAGACACACCAACAGUUAUUCAUUCAAUGAGUCAGAUAGACAGAAGAAAGAAAGAAAGAAAGAAAG